UGGGGAAUAUUGGACAAUGGGCGAAAGCCUGAUCCAGCCAUGCCGCGUGUGUGAAGAAGGUCUUCGGAUUGUAAAGCACUUUAAGUUGGGAGGAAGGGCAUUAACCUAAUACGUUAGUGCUUUGACGUUACCGACAGAAUAAGCACCGGCUAACUCUGUGCCAGCAGCCGCGGUAAUACAGAGGGUGCAAGCGUUAAUCGGAAUUACUGGGCGUAAAGCGCGCGUAGGUGGUUUGUUAAGUUGAAUGUGAAAUCCCCGGGCUCAACCUGGGAACUGCAUCCAAAACUGGCAAGCUAGAGUAUGGUAGAGGGUGGUGGAAUUUCCUGUGUAGCGGUGAAAUGCGUAGAUAUAGGAAGGAACACCAGUGGCGAAGGCGACCACCUGGACUGAUACUGACACUGAGGUGCGAAAGCGUGGGGAGCAAACAGG
Molecule: ribosomal RNA, 429 nt
Filed under: uncultured bacterium
Lineage: Bacteria
Description: bacterial SSU rRNA
Rfam family: Bacterial small subunit ribosomal RNA
Source: RNAcentral